Molecule: ribosomal RNA, 118 nt
Filed under: Pteropus alecto (black flying fox)
Lineage: Eukaryota; Metazoa; Chordata; Mammalia; Chiroptera; Pteropodidae
Also listed under: 1 other name
Source: RNAcentral
GCUACAGCCAUGCCACCCUGAACGUGCCGGAUCUUGUCUGAUUUCAGAAGCUAAGCAGGGUUGGGCCCAGUUAGUACUUGGAUGGGAGACCACCUAGGAAUACCAGGUGCUAUAAGCG